Potamilus streckersoni is the source of this 76-nucleotide non-coding RNA. The record is from the annotation of a GenBank genome assembly. NCBI's taxonomy places the organism in Eukaryota, Metazoa, Mollusca, Bivalvia, Unionida, Unionidae.
UGGUUUCCGUGGCCUAGUGGUUACAGCAUCCGCCUCAGAAGCGGGAGGUCGUGGGUUCGAUCCCCGGUCGAGUCAU